AAACAUCUUUUCUUGUUAGUUUCUGAAGUAUGGCCUGCCCGCUGACGUAUUUUGAGUUGAAGGGCCGCGGUAUUUUGACCGUGCAAAGGUAGCAUAGUCAUUAGUUCUUUAAUUGUGAUCUGGUAUGAAUGGCUUGACGAGACAUAGGCUGUCUUAGUGUGAAUUUAUUGUUGAAUUUGGAGUUUAAGUUAAAAUUCUUAGAUGUUUUUAUGGGACGAGAAGACCCUAUAGAGUUUUACAUUUGAUUGUGCAUUUCUUUUUGUUUGUUUUAGGUUUUUGCGUGUCUUUUGUUUUGUUGGGGUGAUGGGAGGAAUUUAUUUAACUCCUCUUUUUAUGUGAUAUAUUGAUUUAUAUUUGUUUUGAUCCAUUUAUUUUGAUUGUAAGACUAAAUUACCUUAGGGAUAACAGCGUUAUCCUCCCUGAGAGUUCUUAUUGGCGGGGGGGUUUGCGACCUCGAUGUUGGAUUAAGGUUUAUUUU
Molecule: ribosomal RNA, 478 nt
Filed under: Odontotermes sp. 2 SC-2011
Lineage: Eukaryota; Metazoa; Arthropoda; Insecta; Blattodea; Termitidae
Description: partial 16S ribosomal RNA
Rfam family: Bacterial large subunit ribosomal RNA
Source: RNAcentral